RNAcentral lists this unclassified non-coding RNA (255 nucleotides) under uncultured Actinomycetes bacterium. RNAcentral's name for it is "uncultured actinobacterium contains 16S-23S intergenic spacer region". Lineage: Bacteria; Bacillati; Actinomycetota; Actinomycetes. The record is from RNAcentral.
UGGGCUGAACUACGCAGGCCCUUACGGACACCGCGUUUCCGCGGCUUUUCCUGCGUAGUUCAGCCCAGGUAAGGUUCUUCGCGUUACAUCGAAUUAAGCCACAUGCUCCGCCGCUUGUGCGGGUCCCCGUCAAUUCCUUUGAGUUUUAGCCUUGCGGCCGUACUCCCCAGGCGGGGUGCUUAAUGCGUUAGCUGCGGCACAGAAUCCGUCGAUAGGACCCCACACCUAGCACCCAUCGUUUACGGCUGGGACUAC